Molecule: ribosomal RNA, 640 nt
Filed under: uncultured archaeon
Lineage: Archaea
Description: bacterial SSU rRNA
Rfam family: Bacterial small subunit ribosomal RNA
Source: RNAcentral
GGGUGUCGAAGCUAACGCGUUAAGCAGGCCGCCUGGGGAGUACGGUCGCAAGGUUAAAACUCAAAGGAAUUGGCGGGGACCCGCACAAGCGGUGGAGCAUGCUCUUUAAUUGGCUGAUAACCCAAGAACCUUACCCAGGUUUGACAUGUAAGCAGUAGCGAAGUGAAAGCGGAGCAACCGGUAUCCAGUCCGGAACUUACACAGGUGUUGCAUGGCUGUCGUCAGCUCGUACCGUGAGGCGUACCCUUAAGUGGGUUAACGAGCGCAACCCCUACCGUUAGUUGUAUCACUCUAGCGGAACUGCCGCCGCAAGGCGGAGGAAGGUGGGGACGAGGUCAAGUCGGUAUUGCCUUUAUACCUGGGGCUAGAAGCAUGCUACAAUGGCGCGUACAGCGAGGAGCAAUGCAGAGAUGCAAAGCAAAUCUCUUAAAGCGCGUCCCAGUUCGGAUUGAGGGCUGCAAUUCGCCCUCAUGAAGUCGGAAUCGCUAGUAAUCGCAGGUCAGCAAAACUGCGGUGAAUACGUUCUCGGGUCUUGCACACACUGCCCGUCACGCCAGCAAAGCUGAGGCCACCCGAAGUCUCAUAUUGUAUGGGCCCAAGGUGGAACCAGUGAUGAGGGUGAAGUCGUAACAAGGUAGCC